This 87-nucleotide transfer RNA is filed under the name Ponticaulis sp. RNAcentral describes it as "tRNA-Leu". It matches the Rfam family "tRNA". Rfam says of the family: Transfer RNA (tRNA) molecules are approximately 80 nucleotides in length. Their secondary structure includes four short double-helical elements and three loops (D, anti-codon, and T loops). Further hydrogen bonds mediate the characteristic L-shaped molecular structure. tRNAs have two regions of fundamental functional importance: the anti-codon, which is responsible for specific mRNA codon recognition, and the 3' end, to which the tRNAs corresponding amino acid is attached (by aminoacyl-tRNA synthetases). tRNAs cope with the degeneracy of the genetic code in two manners: having more than one tRNA (with a specific anti-codon) for a particular amino acid; and 'wobble' base-pairing, i.e. permitting non-standard base-pairing at the 3rd anti-codon position. Lineage: Bacteria; Pseudomonadati; Pseudomonadota; Alphaproteobacteria; Hyphomonadales; Hyphomonadaceae. The record is from RNAcentral.
GCCCAGAUGGCGGAAUUGGUAGACGCGCUGCGUUCAGGUCGCAGUGGCCUUACGGCCGUGGAGGUUCGAGUCCUCUUCUGGGCACCA